RNAcentral lists this transfer RNA (64 nucleotides) under Paratoxodera polyacantha. Its description in RNAcentral is "tRNA-Gly". Lineage: Eukaryota; Metazoa; Arthropoda; Insecta; Mantodea; Toxoderidae. The record is from RNAcentral.
AUUUAUUUAAUAUAUUAAGUAUAUUUGAUUUCCAAUCAAAAGGUCUAUCCCUAUAGAAUAAAUA